Long non-coding RNA from Eptesicus fuscus (big brown bat), 727 nucleotides. RefSeq lists it as uncharacterized. The transcript has 4 exons. The record is from RefSeq and is a predicted model, not a curated record. NCBI's taxonomy places the organism in Eukaryota, Metazoa, Chordata, Mammalia, Chiroptera, Vespertilionidae.
GGUAAAGGCCAAGAUGCUAUGAGAAUCUGUAACCCUGUCCGGCUGGUCAGGGAAAGCUGCCCUGAGGAAGUGACAUUUAAGAACUAAAUUAAAAAUACGGAGCUAGCUGGAGGUGGGGUGAGGAGGUAUCCCUGACAAAGGAAAGAGCACCCUUGAGCAAGGGCCACAGUGGGGAAUGUGCUUUCCAAGUUCCAGGAACUGAGAGAAGCCAAGAAUGGCUGGAUACAGCAAACCAAGAAAGAAAACAAGAGGAUAAAGCAUGAACAAAACCAACAGGUGGAAAUUGAGAGGCCCUCAAUGCACGUACUUCAAGUCAAUAGUUGACAAACCUUUGAGAUGCAGUCAAGGCACGAACAGAUUAGCCCAAAAAGAGUGUAUGACAAAACAGAAUUUUUGUUCUUCUCACAAGCUAUUGGAACUCAAAUACUGACCAGUCUUCACAAUACCAGCACUACAAUUUAUUGCAAAGGAUGUCUUCAAGAUGUAGCAAGAGAACAGCAAUCCGGGAAUCUACACCUUCAUACACGGAUCAAUUGAGAACACAAAUACAUGAGUCUUGAAGUCUCUUUUAGGAUCUGUCCCAGGAAAGAGCCAUGAAAAGCAUUCAGUAAAAGACAAACUUUAGGUAAAAAGCAAUGUCUGAGUCAGGUCCAGACUAACAGAUUGUAAGACUAAAACUCAGUAUAUGAGAAAUCAGCUACCCCCAACAUAGCUCAAAAUCUGACAA